GGUGAAGAACGUAGCAAAAUGCGAUACUUGGUGUGAAUUGCAGAAUCCCGUGAACCAUCGAGUUUUUGAACGCAAGUUGCGCCCGAAGCCUUUUGGCCGAGGGCACGUCUGCCUGGGCGUCACGCAUCGCGUCGCCCCCCACAAUUCUCCGUAAAGGGAACGUGUGUUUUGGGGGCGGAUAUUGGUCUCCCGUGCUCAUGGCGUGGUUGGCCGAAAUAGGAGUCCUUUCGAUGGACGCACGAACUAGUGGUGGUCGUAAAAACCCUCGUCUUUUGUUUCGUGCUGUUGCUCGCAAGGUAAACUCUUUAAAAACCCCAAUGUGUCGUCUCUUGACGACGCUUCGACCGCGACCCCAGGUCAGGCGGGACUACCCGCUGAGUUUAAGCAUAUCAAUAAGCGGAGGA
Molecule: unclassified non-coding RNA, 404 nt
Filed under: soil metagenome
Description: partial contains 5.8S ribosomal RNA, internal transcribed spacer 2, and large subunit ribosomal RNA
Rfam family: 5.8S ribosomal RNA (bases 3-122)
Source: RNAcentral